UCCAACCACGCUGCUUCCGAGGAGGGAAUGUUCCCACCACUUUCGUCUUCUCUCCAGCCAGCCAUUCCAUACUCACUGUUCCAACCUGUGUUUCACCCAUGACCAAACCAACCCCAAGGUUAGAUCUUCGACACGCUGAUCAAUUGUAUGAUUCCUAGUUUGUAGUCACUUCAAUUCGUACACACCAAUUCUAGUAAUAUUGAGGUCUCACUAAGUAGCCAGUUUUGGAAAAACCUAAUACUAGUAAAGAAUCCGACUCUACAGUCAUGGAGAUUUGAGAUUUCUCUCAUCAAAAAUUGGAUAAAUCCCUAGUAGCAUCCUAAAAUCUCACCUGAAAGACUAUAAUUUAAUAAUCAAAGAUAAUAACUUUCCGAAACGUAGGAUAACUCGAAAAGCGAAAACGGGUACAGAAAGGAAAUUGAAAUCGAUUGAGUACCUCUUUCUCGGGAGCACAUUCUUCGUCAUUACAAUCAGCA
This 476-nucleotide long non-coding RNA is filed under the name Eutrema salsugineum. RNAcentral's name for it is "long non-coding RNA (ESAL_LNC001076)". The record is from RNAcentral. Lineage: Eukaryota; Viridiplantae; Streptophyta; Magnoliopsida; Brassicales; Brassicaceae.